Molecule: long non-coding RNA, 1929 nt
Organism: Strigops habroptila (Kakapo)
Lineage: Eukaryota; Metazoa; Chordata; Aves; Psittaciformes; Psittacidae
Exons: 2
Source: RefSeq, a predicted model, not a curated record
CUUCAGGCCCUCAGGAGUGACGCCUGCCCUGACCCGGACCCAGCUCUGGGGGCUACGAAGACCAGUGCUGCUGCUCCAUUCGGCAGCCAUGCUCUCUGCAACAAUGGGUGGUUGCUUCUUGCUUUCAGGAAUGACAGCCAUCCUGACCCGGACCCGGCUCUGGGGGCUGCGACGACCAAUGCUCCUGCUCCAUUCAGCAGCCAUGCCCUCUGCAACGACGGGUGGUUGCUUCUGGCCCUCAGGAAUGACGGCUGUCCUGACUCGCACCCUGCCAUGGCGGCUGCGGAGACCAAUGCUGCUGCUCCAUUCGGCAGUCGUGCUCUCAGUGACAAGAGGCAGCCGCACCAGGUUUUCAGGAAAGUCUUCCCUCCCGGCUAUGAUGCAGUGGUGGUGGUUGCAAAGGCCAAGGCCACCGGGGAACAGAACCGCCAUGCAGAGUGCCAUGGUCAGGGAGAGAACCAUGUGGAGCCUCAUCUUGGUUUCUCCCAAGGGAGGAAAAUCACAGUGCACGAGCUGGCUUCUGUCUGUCAGGCAGCGACCAGCAGGACUGAGUGGUCACCCCGUGUGUCUGCACUUGGAAGGGCUGCUGAUGUCAGACAAGGCUCUGUGAUGUCACAAAACCCUUCCCUGCGCGCCCUGCAGGCGGUGACGGCUGAAGCGGAGCUGGGGAGGACCCCCGCAGGUGGAUUUUGAAGCCUGCUGCUCUCACCGCUGUGCCUGCCAGCAGACACUGAGCCCAGCAGUGGAGCGGGACUCUGCCCCAGGUCAUUUGGGCUGUGCUCUCCGCUUCUCUGCGAGAAGGAGCUGUGCUCAGACUCCAUGCAGGCUGCGUUCAGCAGCGGGGCAGCCGUGACACGGUUCAGCUCGAAAUCCUCUUGGGGACCAAGCGGCAGCCCAUGUUAAGAGGAAGGCCCAAAAUCCAUGCACUUUGACCAUAGCCUGAACCGUGCCUGAACAGAGCGUUGGACGAACUGGCGUCCAGAGCAGCUGCCUUCUAAGCUCAGCCAUUCCGUGGAUUUUAAAGUGUUUUCAGCAUUAAGAAAUGCAAAGGCUUUCGUGCUGUCGGCCUCCUUAGUCACCAGCACGACCCUCUUGUGCCCACAUGAGGCUCCUGGAAGGCCCCGGUAGAUGGCACUGGUGGGCUGCUGCGCUCCAGCUUCAGCUGCGAGAUGAGUUGGUGCCGGCUCGCUUCCUUCUCGCGUGUCCCUGUCCCUCCUCACGGGGACUUCCCGCACAGCUGCCCAUGAGUUUAACCUUACGCGAGGCUUGAACUGUUCAACAUGGCGGCAAAAGGGCAGCGAGCACGGCCGGGGGAGGCCGUGCUGUGAGGGAGCGUGCACCAGAGGGAGCGCCCAAACGGUCUGGAACCGGCUUUCACGGCCUCUGCCACCGGCAGGCACGUGGGGGAACGGUCCUUCCCCAGCAGGAAGAGAGGUGCACCAGGCCUUUGUGGGUCCCUCCUCUCCUGACUGUGCUGCAGUUCUGCUCUGGUGAAGAACUUGCCUCUGGCCUCUGUGACCACAGCUAGGAUCAGCACCCCGCCGCAACCGAGCCUCACAGUCUUGCUGCAUCCUUGUGAGCUACCGCUGCCUCUCUUUUCUCAAAGAGAUGGAUUCUGUUACACCUGGGACGGGUACUACCUGUUGUUCAUCUCUGGGGAGGAAUAAUGAAAUGCUCCUCAGAUCUGACCACUGGAGGGGAUUAAAGCUGAGGCCAGCAUCCACAGGGGUCCCCAAUGGUCCUUAGUAGGCUGGCUUUCUCCCCUGGCUGCCAUCCAGCUACCAGAUUAGGAAAUCAUGCACAUCUGCAGCCACAGUCACUUCUGCUCAAGAGAGGGAACUGGAUGCGCCAAAAAGCCUUGCUUUGCAGCAGGCAUUUCACUGCGUCUCUUUCAUGACUGACCCAACUUAAAUUUCAUCCUGUAGAGGC